Solea solea (common sole) is the source of this 255-nucleotide long non-coding RNA. RefSeq lists it as uncharacterized. The record is from RefSeq and is a predicted model, not a curated record. Lineage: Eukaryota; Metazoa; Chordata; Actinopteri; Pleuronectiformes; Soleidae. The transcript has 2 exons.
UGGCAAGGCCUCCAACUGAGCGUCUGACACCUUGGCUGAAUCCUUCCGUGACUUUGGAGAAGAGAGACACCUGAGACACAGCCACGAAUGGAAGCCCCAGCAGCUGCAGAAACACUCCGAUGAUAAAAGCCGUCAGCUCCCAUUCAUAACCACCUGGCAGGGAUGUAACAACAGCAACAUGAUAUUACCAAAUUACAAUAAUCUUUCCCACAAAUUAUGUGGCACAUACAAUUAAAAAUGUACUAUAGUUCAUCA